UGUGGGAGCGAGCUUGCUCGCGAUGUGGCCGGCACAUUCAACACUUGUGUUGGCUGAUAGGCCGCCAUCGCGAGCAGGCUCGCUCCCACA
Molecule: unclassified non-coding RNA, 90 nt
Filed under: Pseudomonas sp. A214
Lineage: Bacteria; Pseudomonadati; Pseudomonadota; Gammaproteobacteria; Pseudomonadales; Pseudomonadaceae
Source: RNAcentral